This 100-nucleotide transfer RNA is filed under the name Mycobacterium gallinarum. Its description in RNAcentral is "tRNA-Ile". Lineage: Bacteria; Bacillati; Actinomycetota; Actinomycetes; Mycobacteriales; Mycobacteriaceae. The record is from RNAcentral.
GAGACCGUGUGGUUCGGCGCGGCGGCACCGCUGGCGUUGAUGGCGCCACUGGCUCGCGACGCGGGCGCCGCCCGGGUGAUCGCGAGCACCCAUGGCCACG